CCUACGGGGGGCAGCAGUGGGGAAUCUUGCACAAUGGGGGAAACCCUGAUGCAGCGACGCCGCGUGGAGGAUGAAUGGUCUAGGCCUGUAAACUCCUUUUACCAGGAAAGACUUAGGACGGUACCUGGUGAAUAAGCCCCGGCUAACUACGUGCCAGCAGCCGCGGUAAGACGUAGGGGGCAAGCGUUGUCCGGAUUUACUGGGCGUAAAGGGCGCGUAGGCGGCCUGUUAAGUGUGAAGUGAAAUCUCCAGAGCUCAACUCGGAAACGGCUUCGCAUACUGGCAGGCUUGAGGAAUGCAGAGGUGAAUAGAAUUCCUGGUGUAGCGGUGAAAUGCGUAGAUAUCAGGAGGAAUACCCAUGGCGAAGGCAGUUCACUGGGCAUUAUCUGACGCUGAGGCGCGAAAGCGUGGGGAGCAAACAGGAUUAGAUACCCCUGUAGUC
Molecule: ribosomal RNA, 442 nt
Filed under: uncultured Armatimonadota bacterium
Lineage: Bacteria; Bacillati; Armatimonadota
Description: bacterial SSU rRNA
Rfam family: Bacterial small subunit ribosomal RNA
Source: RNAcentral